This is a long non-coding RNA of Sapajus apella (tufted capuchin), 300 nucleotides long. RefSeq lists it as uncharacterized. The record is from RefSeq and is a predicted model, not a curated record. Lineage: Eukaryota; Metazoa; Chordata; Mammalia; Primates; Cebidae. The transcript is spliced from 2 exons.
AGAAAUUAAAGUGUGUUUGCCGGGCGCGGUGGCUCACGCCUGUAAUCCCAGCACUUUGGGAGGCCGAGGCGGGUGGAUCACGAGGUCAAGAGAUCGAGACCAUCCUGGUCAACAUGGUGAAACCCCGUCUCUACUAAAAAUACAAAAAAUUAGCUGGGCAUGGUGGCGCGUGCCUGUAAUCCCAGCUACUCAGGAGGCUGAGGCAGGAGAAUUGCCUGAACCCAGGAGGCAGAGGUUACAGUGAGCUGAGAUCGCACCACUGCACUCCAGCCUGGGCGACAGAGUGAGACUCUGUCUCAA